AUACCUUUCUCGGCCUUUUGGCUAAGAUCAAGUGUAGUAUCUGUUCUUAUCAGUUUAAUAUCUGAUAUGUCCUUGGGCAUGCAGGUGUGUACUGAAAUUUGGUUCUUGUGACAGUUUGCGUUUUGUUUUCAUAUGGAUCGCCUUCAAUGCUGUUGAUGCAAGUCUAUUGACACGUUGUUGAUUGCUG
Triticum aestivum (bread wheat) is the source of this 187-nucleotide non-coding RNA. NCBI's taxonomy places the organism in Eukaryota, Viridiplantae, Streptophyta, Magnoliopsida, Poales, Poaceae. The record is from Rfam.